RNAcentral lists this long non-coding RNA (10737 nucleotides) under Gossypium raimondii (Peruvian cotton). RNAcentral describes it as "long non-coding RNA (GRAI_LNC006636)". Lineage: Eukaryota; Viridiplantae; Streptophyta; Magnoliopsida; Malvales; Malvaceae. The record is from RNAcentral.
UUUAAUUCAACACAAGGGAAUUUUUGUUGCAGACUCAGAGAUGAUGGCGGAGGCAAGAGGACCUGUUAUUUCGUGUAGAUGCAGCAAAACCGAAGACUGUCAGGGUAUUUGUGCCGUGUGCCCCAACUAUAGCUGCAUUAAUAACCUUUGUACUUGCCUUUCAAACGCACCUCCAUUUCCAUAGUCUUAGAAUCUACACACUCCAACAGUUGAAUGAAAUGGUGGGAUUUUUUUUGUGUAAUUUUAAAUAAAUUAUCAUGCAAUGGAUCUAAUAAGAAAAAAUAUUGUAAUUAUUGUAAUUUUCAAUUUCUUUUUACCCUUCUCUGCCCCUCCCCCCCUUUCUAGUAGCGAAAAGUAUGUUACAUUUCAAAUAUAUAAAAAGAGUUACAAUCUUGUUUUAAAACUAAAAGAAAUAACAGUAAGAACAAAAGAUAGGAGAAAAAUUAAGACACAAAAUGAGAUGAUAAUUCUUCUUUCUACUUGUAUCUCAUAAGCUUGUAUAUGGCUUCAAUCUAUAGGGCUUCAACAAUGAUAGGCUAAAAAUAAUAUAAAUAGGAAUAUCAAAACUCGCAAUAAAUUGAAUGGGUAUUUCAUAAGUUGCAAGUUCCACCGUAUUCUUUUGGUGGGGACACUUUGUUAAUUUAUUAACAACACUAUGCACUAGAUGUGUAUCAAAUGGAAACGUGCUCUGUUAAAACUUUGUUAGAAAAAAUUGCAUAAGCACCUAUUAUAAGCUAAAGCAUUAAAAACAUUUUCUAGGAAAACUUAGCUGGACAAUACCUUGGGUAAAGGAAAGAGUAAACAUGUUUUUGACUCCCCCUAAUUUUAAAAAUAUUGAAACAUGGUACAAAUUUUGAAACAAUUUUUUGUUGCUAAAUACUUCGUCAAAGAGAAUCAUACUAUGAAGACAUGCCUUUUUAAUUACAACGAUAACCAUUGAGUUUCAUUGUAUACUCUAGGUUCAUUUGCCAAUAACUCUUUUGUACAUCAUAAACCUUGGUUGUUUGUUUCCAUUUAUUCACAAUCUCUUGCAACAAAUUUUGACAUUUUAACUGUAGUGAUAGUUUUAUUAUCCUUGUAGCGAGCCCAAGAUACCAAUUGCUCCCACCCAUGAUUUUGAAUUUUAAAUACUUUAUUUAAAUGAUUGUGAUGUUUAGAAAUUUAAAAAAUAAACUAAUUUUCUUCUAAAUUUUAUUACUUAGCGAUCCGCUGCUUGGGAUAGGAAGAACUUAAACCUUCGGCCUGACAAACCUAGGAAGUCAUCUAGGUGAGAAUUAACCCAAAAUUGGUAUUACCUAUCCAUGGACCUCUUACCUCAAGUUGGUCUGGACUGUGAGGUCGAAAGAUAAGUAGUUGUUGCCAACUCAUUAGUUUAGUGGAAGAUCGAGAGAUCCUACUAGGUUAGCGGCUAAUUGAUUGAGUAGAACCAAAAAUAGGAUUUAGUUAUGACCACUGAAGCGAGCUAAUCACUCAUGCUUAGAUUUUAGUGAAUCACAUAUUAGUUCUCCAUCUUUUUUAUUUUAUGCAAGUUUAUUUCUUUUCUUAUAAAAACAAUUGUUUUUCACUUUAUGGUCAUCUUACUAUAAUUUAUUUAAAUUAGUAAUUAGAUCUAUUUGCGUUUAGGUAAAUAUUAAUUUAGUACUUGUCUCCCUUGGGUACGAUCCUCGAGUACUCACCUACUUCGUUGUAAAACUAUAUUACAACCUGACUCGUAUACUUGAGGACACCGCCUCAGUUCAAUAUAUACUUUUAGCAAUAUUCACACUCUGGAUUCUAGUACGUCCGAAGUUGGUCACUGUCCAAAGUGGGCGUAGUUUAUCUGCAAAUCAGUGGUGGCUCAUCUACAAUCCGGAGUGAUAUGUUAGACGAGUUCCGGGGAAUUCAUACGUGAGGUGUGUAGCGGAUUUGGGUAGGACUUUUCUGUUAAUUUGAAACUUCAAUGCAUUCAUAAGCAUGUGCAUAUAAAAUUGUGAAUACCAAUAUAACGAAGUGAAGCGUUUUAUGUGAAAAACUGUUAAUCUGAGGUGCUUUAUGGUUGUCUUUAAUCUCACGAUUGCUAAUUCAUGUGCCUUAUUGUUUUGUUGUUUUAUUUUGAUUUUCUUGUGACUGAACUCACACAGAGCUUCAUAGCUCAAUGCCCUUUAGUUCCCAUCCUUAUAGAUAACCCACCAGGUUAGGAUGCGACAUGUGGAGGGCUCGAACAAGUUUUAAUGUUAUGAAAGUAUUGUUAUGCUUAUUUUAAAAUUUAUGUUAUUUUGGAACUGUACUGUAUUAUUUAUUUUCUGCCAUUGGAUUCAUAUUUAGGUUUUGGUUUUAUAUUGCAAGCAUGACAUAUAAAUUGUUGUUUUUAAGAUGAUGAAAUAUGGAUUUCAAUUAAAUAUGCAUGAAAUAUAGAUGUUAGUAAAACUCAGGAAAAGCCAUUUUUCCGCUGAAAGGUCAUAAUUAAAUUUUGUCUAAUAAAUAGAAUGUAACUAUGUUUCCAAUAGUUAUCACCUUUUACAAGAAAAAUAUUAGUUUAAUUGUAUUUUAUAUGCCCAUGUUUUGUUUUCUAAAAAUAGACAGAGUCUUUGUAAAGAUAAAUAAAAUGUUUUAAUGUGACUAUUUAAAAUCUUCGAUUGCACUAGGCCAUCACGGUGGUCGAUGUAAUCUCCCGAACUCGGGCCUACCGUCUAGGCCAAUUUGGGGAGGUUACAAUUUCAAUGCCAUAAAGUACUAAAACCAUAUUUUCAUUCAUCUUCAGCAUAGAUUAUUUCAUGUUGAUUUGAGUUGAAUUAAAAUAUUUAAUUUGAACUUAUAAAUUUGCCAUAUUUAAGGGAAAAAAAGUGGUUUUACUUCAAACAAAAAGAAGAGAUAAAUUGUUACCAACUAAAUUGAUGAACAAGAACUUGAUAUGAUAUAUACGUGAAUACAAUAAAAAUACAUUAAUUGCGCUAUAAUUGUGUAUAAUAUACUUUUUAUUUAGUUAUAUUGUGUUUAUACAAAAUUAGUAAAGAUAAAAUACUAUGCAUCAAAUAUGUUCAAUUCUAAUUCUAAUUCUAAUUCCAAUUCCAAUUUUUGUUUGAACUUGAUUUGGAACACAAAAAUUGAGCAUGAUGUCAAGUAUGAGAAUCCAAAUCAAGUCUUAUCAAAUAAACAAGCCUAAUUAAAUUUAGUAAAGCUAAUUAAAGCAGUUUAAUCUUUAUCUUGUAUCAAGUUUAAAUUUUAAAAGUUAAACUCAAUGAAGUUAUAUUGGAGCAUUCAAUUCUCUAGGUUUCUAUGGAGAUUGAGAUGGAAUUUCUUGGCUCAGUUCAACCCCAUUAAAUAACUUUAAAGUUUUUAUUUUGAUACAAUAGUUAAUAUUAUUUCCAAACUCAUAUAAGAGGUUGUGUAGGAAGGCUUCAGGUUUUUUUGUCUGCUUUCUCUCAGUACUAUCUCCAGAAUUUUAAUGCUUUUAGUAUUUUAAUAUUUGAAAAUUAUUUAAAAUAACUGUCUACCAAGAAAAAAAUAAUUUAAUCUUUUCUUCUGCUAGACCACAAAUAAAAAGAGUUGGAACAUAUUUCCCAUUUGUUUCUAAACGGUUGGACUAAUAAUCAACUUAUUGGCAUCAUGCAUUCCAGAUUUGGUAACAUUAAUUUCCAUGACUACACUUAGAACAAAAUAAUUAUAAUCAGUAAACAAAAUCCCCAUAAAUCUUCUCAAAGAUGUUUUGCUGAUUUACUUUCCUUUUAGACAUAAUUUCAUAAGGAAAAAAAUAAAAACGUAAUAAUCUCAAAGAAUCCAAAGAAAUUAUUAUUCCUCCAUGCAACACAAAAUAAGAUACUAUAUAUUUUAAAUCCAUAAGCUAUAAAUUUCCACCAACAUAGUUAAUUAGAUAUAAAGAGAUGGCAAAGUUUUCAUUCAAUUUGUUUAUAUUUGCUGUCAUCUUAAUCUUUGCAACUCGUUAGUUUCUUCUUAUGCAGCUCUUUUCUUUCCUUUGGUAUGAAUAUUAUGUUUUUGUUUAAUUCAACACAAGGGAAUUUUUGUUGCAGACUCAGAGAUGAUGGCAGAGGCAAGAGGACCUGUUAUUUCGUGUAGAUGCAGCAAAACCGAAGACUGUCAGGGUAUUUGUGCCGUGUGCCCCAACUAUAGCUGCAUUAAUAACCUUUGUACUUGCCUUUCAAACGCACCUCCAUUUCCAUAGUCUUAGAAUCUACACACUCCAACAGUUGAAUGAAAUGGUGGGAUUUUUUUGUGUAAUUUUAAAUAAAUUAUCAUGCAAUGGAUCUAAUAAGAAAAAAUAUUGUAAUUAUUGUAAUUUUCAAUUUCUUUUUACCCUUCUCUGCCCCUCCCCCCCUUUCUAGUAGCGAAAAGUAUGUUACAUUUCAAAUAUAUAAAAAGAGUUACAAUCUUGUUUUAAAACUAAAAGAAAUAACAGUAAGAACAAAAGAUAGGAGAAAAAUUAAGACACAAAAUGAGAUGAUAAUUCUUCUUUCUACUUGUAUCUCAUAAGCUUGUAUAUGGCUUCAAUCUAUAGGGCUUCAACAAUGAUAGGCUAAAAAUAAUAUAAAUAGGAAUAUCAAAACUCGCAAUAAAUUGAAUGGGUAUUUCAUAAGUUGCAAGUUCCACCGUAUUCUUUUGGUGGGGACACUUUGUUAAUUUAUUAACAACACUAUGCACUAGAUAUGUAUCAAAUGGAAACGUGCUCUGUUAAAACUUUGUUAGAAAAAAUUGCAUAAGCACCUAUUAUAAGCUAAAACAUUAAAAACAUUUUCUAGGAAAACUUAGCUGGACAAUACCUUGGGUAAAGGAAAGAGUAAACAUGUUUUAGACUCACCCUAAUUUUAAAAAUAUUGAACAUGGUACAAAUUUUGAAACAAUUUUUUGAUGCUAAAUACUUCGUCCAAGAGAAUCAUACUAUGAAGACAUGUCGUUUUAAUUACAAUGAUAACCAUUGAGUUUCAUUGUAUACUCUAGGUUCAUUUUCCAAUAACUCUUUUGCACAUCAUAAUAUAGGUGGGGGCGAAUAAAACUUUAAAUAAAGCGAAAUUAAUACAUGCGUUAAAGCCUCCAUUAAUUUCUUAUAAGUUUAUUUUUAUAUCCACAAUCAAAUUUUUCUUAUGCGGACAUGAUACCUUGCUAUUGCAUAUGACAUAAGAAAAACUGUAUAUUAAAUUUAGCCUCCUGGCUUUUGAGAUUUCUACAUCCUAUCUCUCUUUCUUACUCUGUUGCAAGGAUGUUCAUGUAGACCACCUGAAAGAUAGUUGUAUGGUUUCUUUAUUCUUAUUGAAACACAUAUCGAGUCUUUCUUGAAAUCACUGUGACUUUAAUAGUCAUUACCAAUAUGGUUUGACUCUUGCAGGUUUUGAGUACAUUGGCGUGUCAUUCGGCCCAAUUAAAAGCUAUUAUUGUUGUUUCAAUUUGAGAUCGCUCCCUUCUAGUUUUCUUCUUCUUUUCUCGUUUUGGUUUCCUACCCUUUAUAUGCUUGUUGUAGUAUUUUUCCUUAAGUUAAUUUUGGAAAUACAUAGAUUCUAUUGAAUGCAGUGCCAUUAAUCUUAUUAACUAGAUAGGAAUUAACCUAAAAUUGGUAUUGCCUAUCCAUGAACCUCUUACCUCAAGUUGGUUUGGACUGUGAGGUCGAAAGAUAAGUAGUUGUUGCCAACUCAUUAGUUUAGUGGAAGAUCGAGAGAGCCUACUAGGUUAGCGGCUAAUUGAUUGAGUAGAACCUAAAAUAGGAUUUAGUUAUGACCACUGAAGCGAGCUAAUCACUCAUGCUUUGAUUUUUAUUAAAUCACAUAUUAGUUCUCCAGCUUUUUUAUUUUAUGCAAGUUUAUUUCUUUUCUUAUAAAAACAAUUGUUUUUCACUUUAUGAUCAUCGUACUAUAAUUUAUUUAAAUUAGUAAUUAGAUCUAUUUGCUUUUAGGUUAAUAUUAAUUUAGUACUUGUCUCCCUUGGGUUCGAUCCUCGAGUACUCACCUACUUCGUUGUAAAACUAUAUUACAACUUGACUCGUAUACUUGAGGACACCGCCUCAAUUCAAUUAUACUUUUAGCAAUAUUCACACUCUGGAUUCUAGUACGUCCGAAGGCGGUCACUUUCCAAAGUGGCGCGUAGUUUUUCUGCAAAUGAGUGGUGGCUUGUCUACAAUCUGGAGUGAUAUGUUAGACGAGUUCUAGGGAAUUCAUACGUGAUUUGUGUAGCGGAGUUGGGUAGGACUUUUCUGUUAAUUUAAAACUUCAAUGCAUUCAUAAGCAUGUGCAUAUAAAAUUGUGAAUACCAAUAUAGUGAACUGAAGCGUUUUAUGUGAAAAACCGUUAAUCUGAGGUGCUUUAUGGUUGUCUUUAAUCUCAGGAUUGCUAAUUCAUGUGCCUUGUUGGUUUGUUGUUUUAUUUUGGUUUUCUUGUGACUGAAGUCAUACUGAGCUUCAUAGCUCACUUCCUUUUAAUUCUCAUCCUUACAGAUAACUCCUCAGGUUAGGACACGGACGCGACAUACGGAGUGCUCGAAAAAGUUUUAAUGUUAUGAAAGUAUUAUUAUGCUUAUUUUAAAAUUUAUGUUAUUUCGGAACUGUACUAUAUUAUUUAUUUUCUGGUAUAUGGAUUCAUAUUUAGGUUUUGGUUUUAUAUUGCAAGCAUGACAUAUAAAUUGUUUUUUUUUUAAGAUGAUGUAAUAUGGAUUUCAAUUAAAUAUGCAUGAAAUAUAGAUGUUAGUAAAACUCAGGAAAAGCCCUUUUUCCCUAAAAAGUCAUAAUUAAAAUUUGUCUAAUAACUAGAAUGUAACAAUAUUUCCAAUAGUUAUCACCGUUUACAAGAAAAAUAUUACUUUAAUUGUAUUUUAUAUACCCAUGAUUUGUUUUCUAAAAAUAGACAGAGUCCUUCUAAAGAUAAAAAAAUGUUUUAAUGUGACUUUUUAAAAUCUUCGAUUGCACUAGGCCAUCUGGGUGGCCGAUGUAAUCUCCUGAACUCGGGCCUACCGUCUAGGCCCAUUUGGGGAGGUUACAAUUUCAAUGGCAUAAAGUACUAAAACCAUAUUUCCAAUCAUCUUCAGCAUAGAUUAUUUCAUGUUGAUUUGAGUUGAAUUAAAAUAUUUAAUUUGAACUUAUAAAUUUGCCAUUUGUAAAGAAAAAAAAAGUGAUUUUACUUUAAACAAAAAAGAAUAGAUAAAUUGUUACCAACUAAAUUGAUGAACAAGAACAUGAUAUAAUAUGCGCUACAGUUGUAUAUAAUAUCCUUUUUAUUUAGGUAUAUUGUGUUUGUGCAAAAUUAGUAAGGAUAAAAAACUAUGCAUCAAAUAUGUUCAAUUCUAAUUCUAAUUCUAAUUCUAAUUCUAAUUCCAAUUCCAAUUUGAGUUUGAAUUUGAUUUGGAACACAAAAAUUGAGCAUGAUGUCAAGUAUGAGAAUCUAACUCAAGUUUUAUCAAAUAAACAAGCCUCAUUAAAUUUAGUAAAGCUAAUUAAAGCAGUUUAAUCUUUAUCUUGUAUCAAGUUUAUAUUUUAAAAGUGACACUUAAUAAGCAUGACUUUUGCUACUGAGUUGAUCUGUUAGAAACAUUUUAUUUUCUACCAUAUUAAACUAUUAUAGGCAUAUUGAUUGCUGUCGUAUUGUUCUGUUCAAUGUAUAAUUAAAUGCUACCGUAUUAAUCCGUUUUGUGCUUGCCAUUUUGCAUUGCAUUGGGUGAGAUGACAUGUAAGGAGGAAGAAGUGACAUUUUACCUACAAAUUUAUUUUGCACCCACAGCCUAGUGGUAGUGUUUAUCCUUUAACUACAAAUAUGUCGUACAUCUACAACCCAUCUGUAACUUUAACCUGCAAAUAUGUUGUGCAUCUAUAGUCCAGUGGCAAAUUUUAUCUGCGAUAUUUUACUAUGUAUUCAUAGCCCAGUGACAAAUUUCAUCUACGAUUUUUUUUUUUUGUAUCCAUAGCCCAAUGAUAGAUUUUAUCUAUGAAACUAAUGGUGGUUAAACCACAACUCGGUGUGUAGGUGGUUGGAGUUUAGGGGAACUCCCAUUGUAGUGUGUAGCGGUGGGGUAGGAUCUUUUCUGUUUAACCAAAAUUUUAUGGCAUACAUAAAGCAUGUGCAUACAAUUUGGAUUUUUUGAGAUGACAUAUAUGUAUUCAUUGUGGAAGUGAUCUGAAAUAUUGAUAUUCUGAAAUUGCUAUUGUGUAUUGUUCUAUGCAUUAUGUUUCUAUAUGCUUAAGAGUUUGCAUUAGUUUACUCGUGAUGGAACUUACACUGACCUUCAUAACUUACUCCCUUUUCUUUUUCCAUCUUUACAGAUAACCCACCAGGGUAGGACGCGAACGCAAAAUAUGGAGGGCUUGGAAACGUUUUAUUUUUUUGAAAGUAUUAUUAGGCUUAUUUUUAUUAUUUCUAUUAUUUUGAAAUUGUACUGUUUUAUUUAUUUUGUGGCAUGGGGUUCAUAUGUAGGGUUUAUUUAGCAUGCAUAACAUUUAACUUAAUUUUAAAAUAAGGUUUUUAUUUAAUUAAGGCAUGAAAUAUAGUUUAUUAAAGCUAAGUAAAAAAAAUCACCUUUUCGUUGUUAGAUUGUAGAUAAAAAUUGAGUACUAAAUAAAUGAAAAACUAAGUUUUCUUAAAAGUAGUCAUCGUUACAUAGGAAAGUUAAAUUAAAUCGGUUUUUGAUAACUUGUGAGUUUUUCUAAAAAUAGACUAAGUUUUCUUCCAAAAUAAAUAAAUGUUUUAAAAUGCCUAUUUUAUAAACCCCAAUCGUACUAGGCCAUCUCGGUGGCCGAUGUAAUCUCCCGAAUUCGGGUUUAACAUCUAGGCCAGAUUGAGAAGAUUACAACUUUUAUGAAUAUAAAACCGAACAAUCACUUUUUGCUUUUCAGAAACCUCUCUUUUCAGCUUUGCUAACAUAUUUCAUGAGGCUGAGACUCCUCCGUUGAUAGUCUUGGUUGUCUGUUUCCCUUUAUUCACAAUCUCUUGCGAUAAAUUUUGACAUUUUAACUGCAGUGACACUGUCAUUAGCCUUGUAGUGAGCCCAACAUAGCAACUCCUCCCACCUAUGAUUUUGAAUUUUUAAUACUUUAUUUAAUUGAUUUUGAUGUUUUGAAUUUUUUUUAAAAAUAAAUAAAUUAUUGAAAAAAAAUUCGAUAGUUUCAGUCGAUUUGUUACUAUAAUAUCAAAAUUAAUUAAAUUAAACUUCUUCUAAAUUUUAUUUUUUAUAUUUUCAAGUUAUUCAUAACGAAUUCAAUUCAAAUAACUCAUAUUUAAUAUUUUUUUUACAAAACUUAAAUUUAUUUUGAUUAUAUAAUAUCGAAUCUUUCAUUUGGUUAUUUUCUUAAAUACUAUUAUUUAAGCCAUUUGAACCUAAUACUCUAAAAGUGAGAGUUGAAGGGCGACCAAUAUCAGUGGCAUAAAGUACUAAAAACAUAUUUCAGUCAUCUUCAAUAUAGAUUAUUUGAUGUUGAUCUGAGCUAAAUUAAUAUAUUUAAUUCUGACUUGUAAAUUUGCCAUUUGUAAAAAAGAAGAAGAAGUGAUUUUACUUCAAACAAUAAUAAUAGAUUUGUUACCAUCUAAAUUGAUGAACAAGAUAUAUACUUGAAUACGGUAACAAUAAAUUAAUUGUGCUACAGUCUGUCUUAUUUAUAAUAUCUUUUUUAUUUAGGUAUAUAGUGUUUGUACAAAAUUAGUAAAGACCAAAACCCUAUGUAUCAAAUAUGUCAAGUAUGAGAAUCCAACUCAAGUUUUAUCAAAUAAACAAGCCUAAUUAAAUUUAGUAAAGCUAAUUAAAGCAGUUUAAUCUUUACCUUGUAUCAAGUUUAUAUUUCAAAACUGAAAGUCAAUGAAGCUAUAUUGGAGCAUUCAAUUCUAGGCUUAGUUCUACCCCAUUAAAUAACUUUAAAGUUUUUAUAUUGAUACAAGAGUUAAUAUUAUUUUCAAACACAUAUAACUGGUGGUGUAGGAAGGGGUCAAACUUUUGGUCCGCUUUCUCUCCGUACUAUUUCAAAAGGUUUAAUUUUUUAGUAUUUUAAUAUUUAAAACUUAGUAAAAAAAAUAACUUUGACUAACAAGAAAAAUAUAAUUUAAUCUUUUCUUAUCCUAGACCACAUAAAAAAUUUGGAACAUAAUUCACAUUUGUUUCUAAACGGUUGGACUAAUAAUCAAUUAAUUGGCAUCAUGGAUUCUAGAUUUUGUAGUAUUAAUUUCCAUGACUACACUUAGAACAAAAUAAUAAUAAUUAGUAAAAAAAAUCCCCAUAAAUCUUCUCAAGGAUGUUUUGCUGAUUUACUUUCCUUUCUACACAUAGUUUCAUAAGGAAAAUUAUUAAAACAUAGUAAUCUCAAAGAAUCCAAAGAAAUUAAUAUUACUCUAUGCAACACAAAAUAAGAUACUAUAUAUAUUAAAGCCAUAAGCUAUACAUUGCCACCAACAUAUUUAAUUAGAUAUAAAGAGAUGGAGAAGCUUUCAUUCAAUUUGUUUAUAUUCGCUAUUAUCUUAAUCUUUGCAACUCGUUAGUUUCUUCUUAUGCAACCCUUUUAUUUCAUUUGGUAUGAAUAUUAUCUUUUUCGUUUAACCUAAUACAAGGGAAUUUUGGUUGCAGAUCCAGAGAUGAUGGCAGAGGCAAGAGGACCUGUCAUUUCGUGUAGAUGCAGUAAAAUCGAAGAUUGUCACGGUAUUUGCGCCGCGUGCCCCAACUAUAAGUGCAUUAAUAACCUUUGUACUUGCCUUUCAGACGCACCUCCAUUUCCAUAGUCUUAGAAUCUACACACUCCUAUAGUUGAAUUAAAUGGUGGGGUUUUUUUUUGUGUAAUUUGAAAUAAAU